Molecule: long non-coding RNA, 251 nt
Organism: Hypomesus transpacificus
Lineage: Eukaryota; Metazoa; Chordata; Actinopteri; Osmeriformes; Osmeridae
Exons: 3
Source: RefSeq, a predicted model, not a curated record
CAGGUGAAUAGUAACUCGAAGACUUGUAUUGCAAGCUUUCUCAGAAGACUUUCUCAGGCUCUUCAGGCAAUUUUGUGCUUUUUGCCAAUCAUUGUGUGCCGAAACCAAACUCUUCCAGUCGGGUCAGGACAGGUUAGUGAAAUGGACGACGCAAAAAUGGAAGUUGACCAUGAUGGGACAACUAUCAAAGAGGUGGAAACGGAUUGGAAAAAUCAGGAUGAUCUUUCACUCCAUUCCUUUGAUGAGGCAGA